UUCCAGUUCGUCUUGGAUCGUGUUCGUGCUAGGCUAGCUGGAUGGAAAGGAAGGAUGAUGUCCAUUACUGGAAGAAGGGUCCUUGUGCGAUGUGUCCUCUCAGCCAUCCCCACAUUUGCGUUCUCGGUGUUGUGACCACCAAAGAAACUGCUCAGAGAGAUUGACAAAGUGAGACGCCGGUUUCUAUGGGCACAAGAGGAAGAUCUGUUAGGGGAAAAUGCGAAGUUGCUUGGAGCUCAGUGUGCACCCCAAUUGAGGGUGGAGGCCUGGGGAUCCUUGAUGUGGAGAAGUUCUCCAGGGCAUUGA
Molecule: ribosomal RNA, 306 nt
Filed under: Triticum aestivum (bread wheat)
Lineage: Eukaryota; Viridiplantae; Streptophyta; Magnoliopsida; Poales; Poaceae
Description: partial small subunit ribosomal RNA
Source: RNAcentral